RNAcentral lists this ribosomal RNA (468 nucleotides) under uncultured bacterium. RNAcentral describes it as "partial 16S ribosomal RNA". It matches the Rfam family "Bacterial small subunit ribosomal RNA", at positions 28 to 507 of the family's 1533-position model. The record is from RNAcentral.
GACGAACGCUGGCGGCGUGCUUAACACAUGCAAGUCGAACGGAAAGGCCCUGCUUUUGUGGGGUGCUCGAGUGGCGAACGGGUGAGUAACACGUGAGUAACCUACCCUUGACUUUGGGAUAACUUCAGGAAACUGGGGCUAAUACCGGAUAGGAGCUCCUGCUGCAUGGUGGGGGUUGGAAAGUUUCGGCGGUUGGGGGUGGACUCGCGGCUUAUCAGCUUGUUGGUGGGGUAGUGGCUUACCAAGGCUUUGACGGGUAGCCGGCCUGAGAGGGUGACCGGCCACAUUGGGACUGAGAUACGGCCCAGACUCCUACGGGAGGCAGCAGUGGGGAAUAUUGCACAAUGGGCGGAAGCCUGAUGCAGCAACGCCGCGUGCGGGAUGACGGCCUUCGGGUUGUAAACCGCUUUCGCCUGUGACGAAGCGUGAGUGACGGUAAUGGGUAAAGAAGCACCGGCUAACUACGUG